Molecule: ribosomal RNA, 456 nt
Filed under: Triticum aestivum (bread wheat)
Lineage: Eukaryota; Viridiplantae; Streptophyta; Magnoliopsida; Poales; Poaceae
Description: partial small subunit ribosomal RNA
Source: RNAcentral
AUGAGGGAGUUCCUAAUAGAGAAGGUCUUGCCAGCGAUACAAGCAGUCUGGCCGGAAAGUGAUGCCGGACAGACCAUCUACAUUCAGCAGGAUAAUGCUAAGCCCCAUAUCUUGCCAGAUGACCAAGAAUUUCUAGCAGCUGUCGCAAAAACUGGACUUGACAUUAGAUUAGUACAACAACCUGCCAACAGUCCUAAUUUGAAUGUGCUUGACCUUGGCUUUUUCAACUCGCUGCAAUCUCUGACGGAUUGUUUGAGUCCUAAAACACUACAAGACCUUAUUGUAGGUGUUUUGGAGGAAUUUGAAGGCUAUGAUGUUUACAAGCUCAACAGAAUUUUCCUAACUCUACAAAUGUGCAUGACUGAGAUCUUGAACCAUGCAGGGGGAAUGGGUAUAAAAUACCACAUGUUAACAAGGAAAGGCUUGAGGGUCAUGGGCAGCUACCUCCAAGACUAA